UAUGUUGAGAUGAGCCCUUUCAUUUCAGCCAACAAAAUUAAAAAGCCCAUAUUAAUUGUCCAUGGAGAAGAAGAUAAUAAUCCAGGAACACUAACCAUGCAGUCGGAUCGUUUCUUUAAUGCUCUAAAAGGUCAUGGUGCACUUUGUCGCCUGGUCAUUCUUCCUUUUGAGAGCCAUGGGUAUGCUGCGCGAGACAGCAUCAUGCAUGUUCUUUGGGAAACAGAUAGAUGGCUGCAGAAAUA
This 242-nucleotide unclassified non-coding RNA is filed under the name Hevea brasiliensis (rubber tree). Lineage: Eukaryota; Viridiplantae; Streptophyta; Magnoliopsida; Malpighiales; Euphorbiaceae. The record is from RNAcentral.